ACUGCUCAGUAACACGUGGACAACCUACCCUUAGGUCGGGGAUAAAACCCGGGAAACUGGGUAUAAUACCCGAUAGAUCUCGACUGCUGGAAUGCAUCGAGAUCGAAAGCUCCGGCGCCUAAGGAUGGGUCUGCGGCCUAUCAGGUAGUAGUGGGUGUAGCGUACCUACUAGCCUACGACGGGUACGGGUUGUGAGAGCAAGAGCCCGGAGAUGGAUUCUGAGACACGAAUCCAGGCCCUACGGGGUGCAGCAGGCGCGAAAACUUUACAAUGCUGGAAACAGCGAUAAGGGAACCUCGAGUGCCAGGUUACAAAUCUGGCUGUCGUGAUGCCUAAAAAGCAUUGCAUAGCAAGGGCCGGGCAAGACCGGUGCCAGCCGCCGCGGUAACACCGGCGGCUCGAGUGGUAACCGUUAUUAUUGGGUCUAAAGGGUCUGUAGCCGGCCGGAUAAGUCUCUUGGGAAAUCUGGCAGCUUAACUGUCAGGCUUUCAGGAGAUACUGUCUGGCUCGAGGCCGGGAGAGGUGAGAGGUACUUCAGGGGUAGGGGUGAAAUCUUGUAAUCCUUGAAGGACCACCAGUGGCGAAGGCGUCUCACCAGAACGGAUCUGACGGCAAGGGACGAAAGCUAGGGGCACGAACCGGAUUAGAUACCCGGGUAGCCCUAGCCGUAAACGAUACUCGCUAGGUGUCGGCCACGGUGCGACCGCUGUCGGUGCCGUAGGGAAGCCGUGAAGCGAGCCACCUGGGAAGUACGGCCGCAAGGCUGAAACUUAAAGGAAUUGGCGGGGGAGCA
RNAcentral lists this ribosomal RNA (793 nucleotides) under uncultured archaeon. Its description in RNAcentral is "bacterial SSU rRNA". It matches the Rfam family "Archaeal small subunit ribosomal RNA", at positions 85 to 878 of the family's 1478-position model. The record is from RNAcentral.